Molecule: ribosomal RNA, 301 nt
Filed under: uncultured bacterium
Lineage: Bacteria
Description: partial 16S ribosomal RNA
Rfam family: Bacterial small subunit ribosomal RNA
Source: RNAcentral
CAGUCGCCGCGGGAAAACGUAGGUGGCAAGCGUUGUCCGGAUUUAUUGGGCGUAAAGCGAGCGCAGGCGGUCAAUUAAGUCUGAUGUGAAAGCCCCCGGCUCAACCGGGGAGGGUCAUUGGAAACUGGUUGACUUGAGUGCAGAAGAGGAGAGUGGAAUUCCAUGUGUAGCGGUGAAAUGCGUAGAUAUAUGGAGGAACACCGGUGGCGAAAGCGGCUCUCUGGCUUGUAACUGACGCUGAGGCUCGAAAGCGUGGGGAGCAAACAGGAUUAGAUACCCCAGUAGUCCCUGUCUCUUAUAC